GUUGUAUGUGCGUCUGAGAAUACCAAGACAUAAAGUUGGAGAGUUAGGUGAGAGUCUAGGGGCUUUAAGUUCAUGGCUGUGAAGCUUGGAUUUUGUCUUAAAGGCAGAUGGAGGCUAACGAGGAUUUAAAAACAGAAGGAUGAUGUUAUCAGAGUGAUGUUUUCAGAAAGAUAGAUGUGGUAGCGUCAUUGAGGACUACAGAAAGGAAUUGGAGGCAAAGGUAUUGCCAUGUUAACUUAAAAUAGUGAAUAAAUGUGCAUGUGGACAUGUUCUAGUCUAAGAACAGAAGCUGAAGCUUGUCUCUAUGGACUAUACAUCAAUGUUUGUGAUCUUGGAGAAGGGAACCAAGAUACUGGAGAAGAAUAUUCUGGAAAGGCAAGAGUUCAAAGCAUGAUGUAUACUCUACACUGAUUCUGAAAGCAGGGCGGUUUGAAGUUUUCAGUAUGCCAAUUUGUUAUAUUUGACAUAACUGAUAACCAGUCUUUAAUUGAUGGCUCCUGUUUCUCUGAAGAGUUCUGGAUGUGGGAACAAUUCAGCUUUUUCCCACUUCUCAGCCAUACCAUCGUCAGUCACCUCAGAAUGUUUAAUUCUUUGGCAGACGGAACUGGUGAGGUGGCCCCCAUUACCGCCUUUCUUGACGUCAGUGAGGGAGUUGUUCCCUGUGGCUGUCUUAUGUGAAAUAAUUCAGCAUUUGUACUUCAAUUAAAUUCAUAGGUAUAUAUUAUUAAAUGGUACUGAC
Molecule: long non-coding RNA, 739 nt
Filed under: Equus caballus (horse)
Lineage: Eukaryota; Metazoa; Chordata; Mammalia; Perissodactyla; Equidae
Description: lncRNA (ENSECAG00000047658.1)
Source: RNAcentral